GGGUCAGUAGGUUGGUCGUGCCACCGGUACGUACUGGUCUCACUGCUUCCUCCUUCCUGAAGAACCGUAAUGCCAUUAAUUUGGUGUUGCGGGGAAACAGGACUGUUACUUUGAAAAAAUUAGAGUGCUUAAAGCAAGCUAACGCUUGAAUACAUUAGCAUGGAAUAAUGAAAUAGGACGAUCGAUCCUAUUUUGUUGGUUUCUAGGAUUGACGUA
This 216-nucleotide ribosomal RNA is filed under the name Glomeromycotina sp. Its description in RNAcentral is "partial small subunit ribosomal RNA". The stretch from base 44 to 216 matches the Rfam family "Eukaryotic small subunit ribosomal RNA", at positions 690 to 864 of the family's 1831-position model. Lineage: Eukaryota; Fungi; Glomeromycota. The record is from RNAcentral.